CACGCUCUGAGCCGAAGGCAGAUACUCAACCGCUGAGCCACCCAGGCGUUCUGUAGUCAUGAUGUCGCAGAGAUGGAUGAAGGGUCAGCGCUGCCUUGCUCCAGACAACGGAGCUGAGCGUGGCAGAAAGGUCGGGGGGAGGUAUUUCACCUGGUGAAGACAUCUCCUUAGCGGCUGAUGAUGUCGCCUGUCACUCGAGUUUCAAGAAGGCUGUAACCUACAGGCAAUGCGAUGCUGUGCUUAAAGCAGGACCUUCCCGAGCCCUACAUGUUCUGACUUUUGUAGUCGCCACCACACAAAACAUCAGAUUUGGAACCAACAACUGUUUUUCUACCUGGGUGUCAUGCAUUUUUCUAGAUUCCCAAGAAGCUCUUACCUCUGGGAUUUCAUUGUACUGUCACCCUUGGGCCGAGGCUGCUGCUGCUCCUGUGGACUCUGGGAAAGGGCCUCCUCCACGAAUUCCCACUUGUUCCAUGGCCCACCCCUGACUCCCCAGCUCUCACAGUCUAGCUUAGACACCCUGACGAGGUGGAGGAUGUAAUUACACCUUGAAACACUCUGUGCACUGGUGACCCAGCUCCUUGCAUGUGUGACUCAAGCCCCAAGAGGUUAGGUUUGUUGUUUCUGCGGCGCUGGUCUGAGGUGUCGCGGCUGCCAGUUGCACCUGGUUUGGGCAACAGUGUCCUGGCGGGAGAACGAGAGACAUGAGGCUCGGCAGCUGCAGAAAUGGUGUCAAUGUCACCUGCACCCCGUCCCGUCUGUGGCGGCCCGGCCACCGAGCUCGCUGAGGCGGGGCAGGCCCCUGCCCUCUGGCCUGUCCGCCUGUCCGCGGAUGCUCAGUUUUUGUGACUCGAGAAUCUUGGCAUGGCUUGGCUACGUCCUUAGCUCAGGGGUGUCACGAGGUUGCAGCGAAGGGGUUAGCGGGGCUGCCUUCUCAUGUGGUGGCUUGGCCGGGGAGGGAUGCCCCUCCCGGCUCAUCAGGUUGUCGGCACAGUGGAUUUCCUUGUCGCCGUGGGACUGCGGGCCUUUGCCGCCCUGGCCCUGGCCGUCAGCUCCUAAGGACCACGGUUGCCGACUGCACUAAUCCCACAAGGAGAGUCUCUGCAGCAAGUCUGCCAACAAGAUUAGGAGCUGCUUCUCUAAGUUUCACCUCCUCAUUCAAAGAAGGAAGAAUGACAAAGCGCAAAAGCCACAAAGCAGCCAAGUGUGACUCUUUUUUAGCAGCAAGACCAUAGCCUUCCAGAAACCCACCCGUAUCCUUGUCCCCUGCCUCCCGCUGGCCUUUUCUGAAACACCCGGCUGCUUCCAGUGUGCAGGGCGUUGGAAAAUAUAUGUUUCAUUAACCAGUAUCCGAGGGACCCCCCCCCCAAAUGAGCGGGGUCCGGCACAGAUGUUUCCAGUACGUGGGCACGCGGGUGGAGCUGCCGGUGAGGCUCGCCUGGGAUGGGCCCCCGCUCGAGCGGGGAGAGCCUUUGCACAGUGCCUGAUGCUCGGUCUCUUCUCCCCCCCUCUGCUUCCCCAAGAGCAGCCCCUCCAGAGUUAAGCCCCGUGCCAAGCAGACAAGCCUACAUUUGGGGCCUGCAGGAGGACUGCGGAGGGAGGACUGCGGAGGGAGGACUGCGGAGGGAGGACUGCGAGAGCCCGGCCUGGACGAGGAGCAGCGACUGCAACACCCUCCCUUGCCCCAGGGAGGAGCAGCUUGGAAACUUUUUAUGAGAUUCCAGAAGCAGCAAGGUCAGCAGGUUUAUGGCCAUUCUGCUUCGUUUGUAAAUACAGCCUUUGAAUGAGA
Molecule: RNA transcript, 1789 nt
Organism: Canis lupus familiaris (dog)
Lineage: Eukaryota; Metazoa; Chordata; Mammalia; Carnivora; Canidae
Exons: 8
Source: RefSeq, a predicted model, not a curated record